AAUUGCUUGAACCAGGGAGGCAGAGGUUGCAGUGAGCCAAGACUGUGCCAUUGCACUCCAGCCUGGGUGACAAGAGCAAAACUCCAUCUCAAAAAAAAAUGGCCUUCUGUAUAACAUUUCAUAUGAGCUCAUAUUAAUUUUUGCUCUAGGAGAAUUAAGGGUUCUUAAGAGGGCUACAGGCAAUAAGCUGACCCAAAUUUCUGAUGUUUUCUAACAUAGCUUAGCUAACACCC
Molecule: long non-coding RNA, 233 nt
Filed under: Homo sapiens (human)
Lineage: Eukaryota; Metazoa; Chordata; Mammalia; Primates; Hominidae
Description: non-protein coding lnc-GARS-6:1
Source: RNAcentral